UACGUAGGGUGCUAGCGUUGUCCGGAGUUACUGGGCGUAAAGCGCUUGUAGGCGGUCCACCAAGUUUGGGGUGACAGUUGCCGACUUAAUCGGCAAAGUGCCUCAAAGACUGGCGGACUUGAGGGCCACAGAGGGACAUGGAACUCCAGGUGUAGUGGUGAAAUGCGUAGAUAUCUGGAAGAACACCAAAGGCGAAGGCAGUGUCCUGGGUGGUCGCUGACGCUGAGAGGCGAAAGCCAGGGGAGCGAACGGG
This 253-nucleotide ribosomal RNA is filed under the name uncultured bacterium. RNAcentral's name for it is "partial 16S ribosomal RNA". It matches the Rfam family "Bacterial small subunit ribosomal RNA", at positions 524 to 776 of the family's 1533-position model. The record is from RNAcentral.